Long non-coding RNA from Chelonoidis abingdonii (Abingdon island giant tortoise), 4506 nucleotides. RefSeq lists it as uncharacterized. Lineage: Eukaryota; Metazoa; Chordata; Testudines; Testudinidae. The record is from RefSeq and is a predicted model, not a curated record.
GCAAGGCGUCCUGCUGAGGCUGAAAGAAAACAUGAGUUACGCAAGUCCAGGGCUGCCCGCACAUCAUUGACAGUGCCAUCACAUGUCUGCCCGACGUGUGACAGGACGUUCCAUGCCCGAAUCAGACUGAUCAGUCAUCUUCGGAUGCACAGAGCCCAGUCAUCGAACGAAUGAGUUGUUGAGGUCUUCAUCGACAACGAUGGAUAAACAUCAACGCUGAGACAAACAUGUCCACUCAACCCCAAGGAGGUGCCCUACAUAUUUCCAGUGUGGGAACAUUUCUCAAAAAAAUAAAAUAGAAUGGGCUGUCCCUCUCAAUGAUGGGUCUACACUGGUCAAUUCAUAGCAUUGCUGAAGAAAAGCAGAAACUCAGUCUCUGCUGAAAUUGCCUGGUCUCUAUAGGCUCUGAACAGUCUCAGUAUAUUCUAACUGACUUGGUUCUAUCUACGAAGAAAGAGCACCCUUAGGACAUUUAGUAUGAAGCUUAGCCUUGCCUUUGUCUGAAAGUAGUUUUAGGAAAAAAGUGUAUAAGCUGAUUAAAAAGAAACUUAAAGAUUACUUUCAGUAAAAUCUUAAGACACCAUGUCUUAAUGAGAAGACCUACAUGGAGGCCCUGGCACUAGCACUUGCAUUUCUCCUAUCUUUCUGGUCAAUGUCAUUACUACUAGCAAGGCUGUUCUGAUGGAAUGAUGAAAUAGGAACAUUCAGUUAAAUGGCUAGAAAUAUGGACUAUUAACUCUGUCAAUACAAAUAUUUAGAUCACAAGAAGAUGGAGGUUCUUUAAGUGGGAGAUAUACUCUCAUAAGGUCUUUUAGGAAUCUGGCCACCAUAAGUGUGAAGGUGUGGAGUACCCCUAAAUUUGAGGUAGUGGGAAUUGUCUGAAACUGGUAGUGGGAAUUGCCCACUUGAUGUCACAGAUACCUUCUGUGCAAAGGUGAAUUGAUAUAUGGAAAAGAUGGUCUUGGAAAUAGAGAUCUGUCUAUUAGUCAUGUGGAUCUAAGCUUGGGACUAAUGAUGUUGGAGUCACCCUCUGAACUUCAGCUUGCAAAUGAAAGUGUUCAGCUGUCUCAAGCCCAGAACAGGAUUACAGCACCCUCCUUCUUUUUGGGAAUCAGAAAAUAAGUAAAACCCGUUUCCCCUAUGAUCCUAAGGCACUAACUCUACUGCUCUGAGAUUAAGAAGUGACUGCAUCUCCUGAUGUAACAUACUUUCAGGAGAGGGGAUGGAGGAGAUCUGGAACUGGAUGCAUUAGACCAUCUCCACAAUUUCCAACACAUUUUCCCCCCAAAAUUAAAAACUGAUUCCCAAAUGGAGAGGAUACAAUAGGAGGAUUCUACAGAAUUUGUACAUUGUUCCCAUUAAGAAAUCGUAUCUGCUAUCUUGAGGACAAUAAAGGCUGAUGAUAACAGGGUGAUGGAUAAAGUUGACUUCCUUCUGGGGAAUUUUUGGCACAUCAUAAGCAGAUCAGGUUGCCUGUAUUGAGUGUAAAAAUAUUGACUUUGCUGUGCUUGAGGCUUAAGGUGCUUACACUUGGAGGUCUACAUUCCUGCAUCAAAGGAUCUCAACAUAGCAUGGGAGUUCUUCAAAGAGUGUAAGGCCUCAGCUGUUUUAGCACGGAAAAGCUCACAUCUCUCAAGGAAGAGUCUCAGUUGUAAUUUAUGCUUCUUUAGCAAUCCCUGGUGAUUGGAGCCAUGACGACUUCCUCAUAUCAAUUGAGAUAAUUUCCAGAUCUAUGACUGUAUCUGCAGCAUGAAGCGCUGCUUGGAAGAAUGUAUGCACCUUUGCCAGUCAGCAACAAACUCCUUCAUGUUGUGUUAAGGAAGUUUGUCUGCAAAGGCAUCUGCAAGAGCAACUUUGCCAGCUCUAAAACACUUUCAUUGAUGAGCACUGCAAGCAGUACUAGUACCAAGAGUCAUAGGAUGUCCAGGAACUUGUGUGUAUGUUGUGGUUUCUUUUUUUUUUUUUUUACUGGACCACCUCAGCUGGAAGCGUCAGUGUGUCAGCCAUUCUGUGUAACAAGUUGUGGAAUAUGUUGUAACCAUCUGGGGUUGAGGUAAAUGACACAAGAACCACCUCAUCCAGAGAUGACUAAUGAGCUGGAACAGGGUGGUCCUCUGCUUGUGACUACUAAUCAGAGCUAUAUCCAGUCUGUUUAGCAGGCUGUAAGGCUCUCAAGUGAGGUGAAGGGGGAUCUAGCCCUAGACUGAGAGGCAGACACUGGCCUUCCAGCAUGAUGCAUUCCCCACAGAGUCCAAUAAGGCCAAGGGGGAGGAUUCUAGGUCUAUGGUAAUAAGACAACCCUUGACUUUCUCUCUAGUGUAUACUGGCCUGAACACUUAGACCCCAUGGAAUUAGCCAAUUAAACUUCCCUUAGAGCCUGAAAAGAAGAAUGAAUAGUCCUCCUAAGGAGAAGCAACUGUACCAGCUAGGGUACAGGCAGCACCCUCAGACUGUGCUCUGGCCAGCACUGCUGAUGUGCUCAAUAGUGGUGUAGAAGCAGCAGUCAGAACCAGAGAGAUACCUUCACUACUGCUAAUAAUGGGAAACCCAGUACUGAAGAAACCAGUAAGGGUCUUCAAAUAAUGUAUAGACCUUUGGUACUAAAUACACUGAUACAAGGCAAACAAGUAGAUUUCAGUACCAAGGUAGAUAGUACUGUAGACAUCAGUACCAAAGGCUUCAUGCUAAGAGGUCAGUACUAGGCAUUUUAUGCAGUACUGAGGAAACUGGUCAAAGGUCCAGUGACCAGUGCCUGACUGGGUGCCAGAGACACCAUUUUUUAGGCCUCAUGCUACCCCUUUUUGUCUGAGGCUUGAGAGGGGGAUCUGGUAAAGGAUACCUAAAUCUCCUCUUUGUGUGGAGUUGGUGCUCUUUCUUCCCCUGGCCUUGGAGAUUUUACCAAGCAUCUUUAGGAGCAGGAACUUCAGCUCCAAGCACAGAGGAGCCAUCAGGAGAAUUUUUAGAUGACAAGUCCUCAAAAGUUUCUGAGUCAGGCAUCCCAGACUCUGAUGAGGAAUGCCUUAACUUCACUCAAAGGAGCUAUUUUAAACAAGACUACCUCCCCAGCAUUCUGGGUUCUUUUAGAAAAAGAUUUACAGAUUAUAUUGUUCUGUAAAGUGCCCCUUAUCCAAACUCAACAAGCAUCAACAAACUCAACAAGCGUUACAACCCCACACAAAGGGCAAUUUUUAAAGCCUAGAGAUUCGCAUUCAGUCAUAGUGAGCAAUCCCAGUAUUAGUGCUAAUUUUUAGGCAAAAAAACAAACAAGUGAGUCUUCUUCUGAAGGAAGAAAAACAAUCAAACAAAACCUCUAGAACUAAUCUUAAAGCCAAACUAAUUAACAGGCACCUUACUCUCUACAACUAUUUACAUAAGAAGCAGCUGCAUAGUAAACAAAGGUCCCCCGCUUCUACAAAUUUAAACUUGAAAGUGAUGAAAUGGAAGAGAGAGGCAAUUGAGGUUGCCCUGCCCUUUAUGCCCUCUGUUGGAGGCACAAGACACUCAGGUAACAGGCACGGCCCCCAACAUGGGUCACCAAAAGAAUAUGAACUCAAGUGCACUGGGCACAUUCACCACUAGUAGAAUAUAGUAUAUGGACAAGCAUCUGAAGGAGGGGCCUCAGCAAAUAACUGAUUUAAAGUUUCUUUAAUCUUUUAAAACCCCAUAAUAUAGCCAGUCUACUCCCCAUACACCAGGUACUGCUGUCCCAGCACACAACAUACUGCUGCCAUCCUUGUCUAUAUGGCACCACAUUGACGGGCAAUGUUGUGGAGAAGGUUUGGGGUGAUAAGUAAAUAUUAAUUAUUUUCCACCUAUGUCAUUUUACAAAGCUUUCCUUUUAAAUAUUUAGAGCAUUAAGGAACACAAACAAGCAGAAAACAGCUUGAUCAGAACACAACACCUGAACCUCUCAAAACUUUUAAUAAAUCUUCCCCCCUUCACCACAGUACUUUGAGAUUUCAUAGUAAAACAGUUUGAAUAAAUUGAUUGUAUUUUGACAAUUUUAUAAUUAAUUAGCAAUUUAACAGGUUUAUUAAUCAGUGGAUAUUACAUGAAUUACACAUAUUUUGUAAAAAAGUUUUAUGGUAGAAAUAAAGCAGUUUCACAUAAUUUUCUAUGUCAUAUUUUCCCUUUGACCUGGGCUGCCUUUGCUUCCAGGUUUAAAACAGUUUCCACCUGUGUUUGUAUUAGCCUGAAAUCUAGUAAAUCAAGACUGUUUAUUGCAGUGUCAUUGUUAUACCUGAAAUGGUCUGUCCUCUACCUUUACUUUCUGUAAAAUCAGCCCUGAACUUCUAGACUAAGAAAUAUCAAAAUAAGAGUCCGAAGCAUUUAUUUUUAUACUACAAUUUUUUCCUCACUUGAAGUUUGAACGUUGAGACAAAUAUUGACUUGGCACUGUUUUUUCCUACAAUCCUUAGGAAAAACCUUGUAAAAUAUCAGUCAAGUAUCCAAAACAUGACUAAAGUAGUAACUUAACAACAUUGCUAAUUUUUAUUACUCAUUUUU